This 253-nucleotide ribosomal RNA is filed under the name uncultured bacterium. RNAcentral's name for it is "partial 16S ribosomal RNA". It matches the Rfam family "Bacterial small subunit ribosomal RNA", at positions 524 to 776 of the family's 1533-position model. The record is from RNAcentral.
GACGUAGGGGGCCAGCGUUGCUCGGAAUUACUGGGUGUGAAGGGUUCGUAGGCGGUGUGGCAAGUCGGGAGUGAAAUCUCUGGGCUCAACCCAGAGUCUGCUUCCGAAACUGCCGUGCUUGAGUGUGGCAGAGGAAGGUGGAAUUCCACGUGUAGCGGUGAAAUGCGUAGAGAUGUGGAGGAACACCAAUGGCGAAGGCAGCCUUCUGGGCCAACACUGACGCUCAUGCACGAAAGCGUGGGGAGCAAACAGG